Eucalyptus grandis is the source of this 211-nucleotide long non-coding RNA. RefSeq lists it as uncharacterized. The record is from RefSeq and is a predicted model, not a curated record. The transcript is spliced from 3 exons. Lineage: Eukaryota; Viridiplantae; Streptophyta; Magnoliopsida; Myrtales; Myrtaceae.
AAACUUAUAGAAAUUGGAGCCAAAAGAGAAGUAUGCUCAGAGAUACGUUACCUGUUUUGGUUGGUGGAAAACAAGCAAGCUCCUUUGCCUGACAAGGUUUCUGUGGUGUGCAAUGGCAUGGAAGGGUCAUAUAUUCCAAAACUUCAUCUAAUUGUGUGCAAGUGUGGCUCGUGUGGUUCAAAGAUGCAGACACCUAGUGAAUGGGAACGAU